RNAcentral lists this ribosomal RNA (442 nucleotides) under uncultured bacterium. Its description in RNAcentral is "partial 16S ribosomal RNA". It matches the Rfam family "Bacterial small subunit ribosomal RNA", at positions 338 to 795 of the family's 1533-position model. The record is from RNAcentral.
CCUACGGGUGGCAGCAGUGGGGACUAUUUGGCAAUGGGCGCAAGCCUGACCAAGCAACGCCGCGUGAAGGAAGAAGGCGGUCGGGUUGUCAACUUCUUUUAAGGGGGAAGAGCAGAAGACGGUACCCCUUGAAUAAGCCAUGGCUAAAUACGUGCUAGCAGCCGCGGUAAUAAGUAGGUGGCAAGCGUUGUCCGGAUGUACUGUGUGUAAAGGUCGUGCAGCCGGAGAGACAAGUCAGAUGUGAAAUCCACGGGCUCAAACCGUGAACUGCAUUUGACACUGUUUCCCUUGGGUGUCGGAGAGGUAAUCGGAAUUCCUUGUGGAGCGGUGAAAUGCGUAGAUAUAAGGAAGAACACCAGUGGCGAAGGCGGAUUACUGGACGAUAACUGACGGUGAGGCGCGAAAGCGUGGGGAGCAAACAGGAUUAGAUACCCGGGUAGUC